This is a long non-coding RNA of Biomphalaria glabrata, 2621 nucleotides long. RefSeq lists it as uncharacterized. The record is from RefSeq and is a predicted model, not a curated record. NCBI's taxonomy places the organism in Eukaryota, Metazoa, Mollusca, Gastropoda, Planorbidae. The transcript has 4 exons.
AGUGUUUCUCCAGUACUGGUUACAACUAGGUGUUGGUUCACUAAAAAGUCUGUAUUUCAUAAGAUUGUUAUUCAAAUGUGACAAUUUGCAUUACAUUGCAUUAAGAAAUGGUUAAUCUAUAAAUUUUGAUAUUUUGAGCUCAUAAGGUGCUAGGGAAAUAUUGAAAUUGUAAAAAAUGUGUGAAAUUACUACCCAAAAUGGCGGCUUUUGAUGUAACACGGAACACCAUGGUAUGAUUGAAUUAAUAUCGUACUAAAACCAAGGGGCAUAAAACUUCCAUCUUUGUUGGAAUAUGUUAACAAGAUCCUCAUAUUUCAAUGUCAUUAUUUAGUUUUUCUCAAGGUUAUCAAAAUAUUGAUUAAACACGGCCACAAAAAGGCGUUUGAGGCGCAUCGCGAUGUGUCCCACUUUAUACGGAAUUACAAUCCUCUAUGAAUUGUAAACAAGAAAUAAAUAAUAUGCUCAACAUUGCAUUUCUGUUACAGCAAGCAUUAAAGAUUUCUUUUAAAGUAUUUUUUUUGUUAAAAGCUUUCUAAACAUGCAUAACGAGCUUAAAAUAGGUCGAGGUGUCCCAGAUGAAGCGCCUGUGCUGCGUGUGUUAAGAAUGGGAUUAUUUUUCCCACGACACUACUUUUUAUGAAUGAGAGUUCUUUUGAGCAUCACAGGUAUUGUGUAGAACAAAAGAAGUGCCGUUUCCGCUGGAAAUACUAGCGUAGUAAUUAACAGGAGUACGUAAACAAUAGCGUGUCCCACAAUUAAGCAUUGAUGCGCCUCAAGCGUCGACACGAUCAAUCGCCGGCAAUCUUGCACAAAAACCUCAUUUAAUCUGUUUUUUGUGAUCUUUUGUGAAUCAACAACCCAUCAGAUUUCAGUAAUGGAGUAUCUGUUAGAGUUUCAAGGCGUCUACAAGCCAAGAAAGACUCUAAAUUUACAAGCAUCAAAGCCUGAGUCUCUAACACGUGUUGCUGUUUUAGAGCAGAGAGAAAAGGAAAGGUUGAGAAAAGCUGCAUACAGGGCCUAGUUAAGCCCACAUGAAAAAGCUUGGAUAAACAGAAAACGCAAAGAAAGAAAACAGCAAGCUAAUAGUCCACUUAAUGUCAUCUCAGCAGAGGUUGGUGAAUCACUAGGUACUGGAUUCCAGACUCCAGUGGCAAAAAAAAAAUGGCUGUUUCAAGGGCUUUGAUGAAAUUGCCUAGGUCACCCAAGAAAUAUGCUGCAGUUUUUGAAGGUCUCACACAAAUAUGCUCCCUAAGAAAAAGUAAAGCUGUCCAUGACUUACGCUUUCUGCGCCUACCUGAGAGAAGAAAGCUCAUCCUUCUAAACAACAUUAAAGAAAGUAUCAAAACCUAACUACACUCCACCAGCAAACAAAAAAGUCAGAUGUCUAGUGCUCGUAGACAAGUACUCUGCAGUAUCCUUAGUAAGUACAACAAACUCAGAGGUUGUGCUACUCAUUUCUAACAUUUGGUCAAGAAGUUUUAUGUCCAAGUGCAAAUCAGAACAAAUUGCAAGAAAAAAAAUGACGUGAUUGCAUUGCACAAAAUGCCUUGGAAACAAUAUUCAUUUUUUACAGUAGAGGGGAUGUCUCAAGAACUGAUCCCUCUCAAUCAUCUGUUAGUGCUCAAACAGGAAAACGUUUCAUGCAAAAGCUACUUAACAUAAGAUGCAGUCUUGCUUAUGUGAGUUGUGUUUGAAGAUUUUUCUUUAUAUAUAUAGAGGGCAUUAAUAAAUUUCUGAUCAAAAAAGGACACAGAGAGCUGACAUUAAUAAAUCUAGCUUCAUCACUUGACUUAACUCUAUGCCCAAGAACUAAUGCCAAUUGUUUUCAUAAGCUGCAGUGCAUUGAAAGAUCAUGUAGCAACUGUGGUGUGGAUUUAAUUAACAAGUAUUGAGCCUUUAAAAAAUUGCACAGAUGAAUUAGCAGAGUAGAGUAUGUUCAGAGUGAUGGUACACUGCAAAAGGUAUCAAAGUGGCGACCAGUAAAUAAAGAAGGAUCUUUUAAUGACCUAGUGAGAGGUAUUACACCUAACACUAUUGCUUACAGAAAUAGAAGCUGUUUCUGCUAUCCAUGCAGAAAUUCAUAUGGCAGUCAGUGCCUGCAUGAUGAAAUAUGUGGCUCUUGGAAGGUGUUCAAACUUCAGAAACAAAAUGUAGUGCAAUCUCAGUCAAAUCUUGAAGACUCUUUGGAUGUCAGUCCCAUAUGCUCAAAUUCAAAGGCCCAAACAAUUUCCUUCACUCAUCAAAAGUACAUUGUAAAUAGCUGUGUGAUUGUCAAGUAUGGGGAAAUAUUCUAUCCAGGUAUAAUUUUUUGCACUGUGUACCUUUUAAUUUCAAUAAACAAGUUCAAAGUAUGUUUUAGAUUGAAGUAUUAACUUUUCAACAUUGCUGGUAAUUUUUUCUAACAGGAGUUGUGAUAGAAGUCCUGGAUGAUCAGCGCAGAAAUAAUUUUUAAAAAAGGCACAGAAAUAAAAGAAAUAUAUUUGUAUAUCCAGAAGUGCCGGACAUACAGUUAGUGUAUGCAGACAUGAUUGUUACUGAAGUGAUGUUGAUACCAAUGGCAAUAGUUUGAGAGUGGAAUGUUUUGAUUUCUGAAUUUGUGAAAUAAAAUUUGUGUACAGUUU